Non-coding RNA from Gopherus flavomarginatus (Mexican gopher tortoise), 82 nucleotides. NCBI's taxonomy places the organism in Eukaryota, Metazoa, Chordata, Testudines, Testudinidae. The record is from the annotation of a RefSeq genome assembly.
GUAGUUAUGGCCGAGUGGCUAAGGCGAUGGACUAGCAAUCCAUUGGGGUUUUCUGGCACAGGUUCACAUCCUGUCAACUACA